This 253-nucleotide ribosomal RNA is filed under the name uncultured bacterium. Its description in RNAcentral is "partial 16S ribosomal RNA". It matches the Rfam family "Bacterial small subunit ribosomal RNA", at positions 524 to 776 of the family's 1533-position model. The record is from RNAcentral.
UACGUAGGCAGCGAGCGUUGUUCGGAGUUACUGGGCGUAAAGAGUGCGUAGGCGGUUUUCUAAGUUUGGUGUGAAAUCUCCCGGCUUAACUGGGAGGGUGCGCCGAAAACUGGAAGGCUUGAGUAUGGGAGAGGUAAGCGGAAUUCCUGGUGUAGCGGUGAAAUGCGUAGAUAUCGGGAGGAACACCAGUGGCGAAGGCGACUUCCUGGCCUGUUCUUGACGCUGAGGCGCGAAAGCUAGGGUAGCAAACGGG